GUUCACGUGCUGCGGUCUGACCAAUCCCAACAACUGGGCCGACCCUAGCGCCCAGCCCAGCUGCCCCUGCCCCGCGGCUGACCAGGGAACCAACAAGUGUGAAGUGAUCGGCGGUACGGAGUACAGGCUGUCUUGUGUGGACGAACUGAAGUUAUACCUGGAGCAGAACAUCGUCAUUGUAGGAGCUGUGGCACUGGCAGUCGCUGCUGUAGAGAUCUUUGGGAUCAUCUUCGCGUGUGUCCUAUUGCGGCAGGCAGACAAGGAGACCAGCGGCAUCGCGUAACCUCCUCCUGAUGCCGUCACGGGUUUUUGCUGAGGGAGGACCAAAUGUACAGUUUAUAGCAUUGUUACCUGAACAGUCUAAACAAUAAAAAGUGAGAAAGCGUUAGCAUCAGAACUGAAACACUAGGGCCUAGCAAGUCAAGGGUCCAUGAUGACACAUUUAUAUUAACAGCCGUAUCAAGUAGUAGCACAAUAUAUAGUCAAUACAAUUGAAACGUACACAUUGUUAUUAAUGUAUUUUAAUUUUUAUAGUGUGUUUUACAACAUUUAAUAAAAGAAAACAUUACCUCAUGCAAAGCUUCUGUUCUGCAAAACUUAUUUUUCCGUGUAGACAUGUUCAGUCAAAUUUGUUUUCCAUUUUGUAUCUACCAGAGAAAUUGUCAUGUAGGAAAAUAAGACAGUACUGGGGUGAUAAUGUUUAUGAACUUUUUACUUUCUGCUUUUGGGUCUUUGUUAUCAUGUCAGUCCUGUUAAUCUAAUAAAGUAAGGGAUUUCGUGGUGUCAUGA
Long non-coding RNA from Branchiostoma belcheri (Belcher's lancelet), 789 nucleotides. RefSeq lists it as uncharacterized. The record is from RefSeq and is a predicted model, not a curated record. NCBI's taxonomy places the organism in Eukaryota, Metazoa, Chordata, Leptocardii, Amphioxiformes, Branchiostomatidae. The transcript has 3 exons.